GAUGAUGCUCCACAACCAAAAUCAAAGGCUCCUGCUAGAUGGAUUGUCAUCAAGUGUAAUAGACAAAAAGGAAGCACUGAGUGCGGCUAUUAUGUCAUGCACUGAAUGUCCACCAUCAUUUUAGGAAGUUUCAGGAAUAAUUAGGAAGCGUAUUUUAACGAUCCUAGACAAUUGGAGCUAGAGAGAUUAAAGGCGCUUCGGAUCCACU
Molecule: long non-coding RNA, 208 nt
Organism: Glycine soja
Lineage: Eukaryota; Viridiplantae; Streptophyta; Magnoliopsida; Fabales; Fabaceae
Exons: 3
Source: RefSeq, a predicted model, not a curated record